CCCCGCGUAGCCCAACAGGAGAGGCAUCCGGUUCAGAACCGGACCAGUGCGCGUGCAAAUCGUGCCGCGGGGACCA
This 76-nucleotide transfer RNA is filed under the name Chthoniobacterales bacterium. Its description in RNAcentral is "tRNA-Leu". The record is from RNAcentral. Lineage: Bacteria; Pseudomonadati; Verrucomicrobiota; Spartobacteria; Chthoniobacterales.